UUUUUUCUGCGGGUUUGGAGAGCGGAGUUGGGCAACAAACAAAAACCUUAGCGGUGACGUGCGUGAGCCAGCCAAUGGGAGUGAAGCAUUUGAAAGUUAUUUUUAGAACAGCAUGUCUCACACUCGCUUUCCAGACUCCGCGGAGUGACAGCCAAAAACUGAGCCGAAUGGAGUUGGAGGAACAGGCGAAAAGAGUACCCACCAGAACUUACUGCUGGUUCAUCACAAGGCUGAGGGAAGACCACUUCUAAUGACUCGGACUUGAAAAGAAACAACGCUAAGAGUACGACAACUAACUGGCUGCAGCUCCUGCGCGAAACAGACGGCAAAGGCAAAGUGGUCAUCGGCUCUCUGGCUUUCCACGAGACCUGGGCACAGGUGUGCCGUUUGCUGGAAAGCCUGGAGGAGGAAUAUGAGAGAACGGAGGACUGGUGCGGCGCAACAGACAAACCUGGCUCCAGCGGUCAGAUUGAUCAUGUGACUUCCAUGAUCAGUAAACACCUGAAGCAUAAGGAAUUCGUCCUCAAGGUUGAAAUCACACCAUUAAAUAUGCCUGCAAAUUAACCAAGGGAAUUGCGGAUCUCUUCCAGCAGUACGUAGAGCGGAACGGCGCAACCAUGGGAAGGCUGAGUCACGACCAAGAAGAGCAUGUUACAAGCAUCCUGAAUGAUCUGUGUGAGAGAGAAAACCGUGACCUCUGUUUGUGGAAUGUCAGGAAGCAGCAACUGGACGACUGUCAGCGUUAUUUGGCAUUUGAACGCCGUGCCAUUCAGGCACAGGAGAGAAUUCAAGACAUGGGAGAGGUUUACUUCUCCACACACUACUCCACCGGCUCAAGUAUCGGCUUCAGGCAGGAGCUGCUGAGGGAGGAGGAGGAUUUUAACAUCAUCAGCAAG
Corythoichthys intestinalis (scribbled pipefish) is the source of this 896-nucleotide long non-coding RNA. RefSeq lists it as uncharacterized. NCBI's taxonomy places the organism in Eukaryota, Metazoa, Chordata, Actinopteri, Syngnathiformes, Syngnathidae. The transcript has 6 exons. The record is from RefSeq and is a predicted model, not a curated record.